UGACGAUGAUGACGGUACGNUGAGAAGAAGCACCGGCUAACUUCGUGCCAGCAGCCGCGGUAAUACGAAGGGUGCNAGCGUGUUUCGGAUUUACUGGGCGUAAAGCGCAUGUAGGCGGUAUAUCAAGUCAGAGGUGAAAGCCCAAGGCUCAACCUUGGAACUGCCUUUGAUACCGAUAAACUAGAGUACGAUAGAGGAUAGCGGAAUUUCCAGUGUAGAGGUGAAAUUCGUAGAUAUUGGAAGGAACACCAGUGGCGAAAGCGGCUAUCUGGAUCGUAACUGACGCUAAGAUGCGAAAGCGUGGGUAGCAAACAGGAUUAGAUACCCUGGUAGUCCACGCCGUAAACGAUGAGUGCUAGAUGUUGGGAACAUUUGUUUUCAGUGUCACAGUUAACGCGUUAAGCACUCCGCCUGGGGAGUACGGCCGCAAGGUUAAAACUUAAAGGAAUUGACGGGGACCCGCACAAGCGGUGGAGCAUGUUGUUUAAUUCGAAGAUACGCGAACAACCUUACCUACUCUUGACAUCCCGAUCGCGAAUUUCAGAGAUGAUUUUCUUCAGUUUGGCUGGAUCGGUGACAGAUGCUGCAUGGUUGUCGUCAGCUCGUGUCGUGAGAUGUUGGGUUAAGUCCCGCAACGAGCGCAACCCUUACUGUUAGUUGCCAUCAGGUUAUGCUGGGAACUCUGGCAGAACUGCCGGUGAUAAGCCGGAGGAAGGUGGGGAUGACGUCAAAUCAGCAUGGUUCUUACGAGUAGGGCCACAAACGUGCUACAAUGGUAACUACAAAAAGCGGCAAACUUGCAAGAGUGAGCUAAUCUUUUAAAAGUUAUCUCAGUUCGAAUUGUCCUCUGCAACUCGAGGGCAUGAAGUGGAAUCGCUAGU
This 881-nucleotide ribosomal RNA is filed under the name uncultured organism. RNAcentral's name for it is "bacterial SSU rRNA". It matches the Rfam family "Bacterial small subunit ribosomal RNA", at positions 461 to 1339 of the family's 1533-position model. The record is from RNAcentral.